GCCGCGGUCGCAUAGCCUGGCCAUUGCGGUGGAUUGCUAAUUCACUGUCCGAAAGGGCACGGGAGUUCAAAAACUGCAAACUCAGUUUACACGUUAGGUCGGCAUGAAGCCGACCAGUGCGCUUCGCGCAUAACGGGAUUGCAGCUUGAAAGUCUCCCCCGCGGCG
RNAcentral lists this transfer RNA (166 nucleotides) under Candidatus Woesearchaeota archaeon. RNAcentral's name for it is "tRNA-Ser". The record is from RNAcentral. Lineage: Archaea; Nanobdellati; Candidatus Woesearchaeota.